RNAcentral lists this ribosomal RNA (482 nucleotides) under uncultured bacterium. RNAcentral's name for it is "partial 16S ribosomal RNA". It matches the Rfam family "Bacterial small subunit ribosomal RNA", at positions 30 to 507 of the family's 1533-position model. The record is from RNAcentral.
AUUGAACGCUGGCGGCAUGCUUUACACAUGCAAGUCGAACGGUAACAGGUCUUCGGAUGCUGACGAGUGGCGAACGGGUGAGUAAUACAUCGGAACGUGCCUAGUAGUGGGAGAUAACUACUCGAAAGAGUAGCUAAUACCGCAUGAGAUCUACGGAUGAAAGCAGGGGACCUUCGGGCCUUGUGCUACUAGAGCGGCUGAUGGCAGAUUAGGUAGUUGGUGGGGUAAAGGCUUACCAAGCCUGCGAUCUGUAGCUGGUCUGAGAGGACGACCAGCCACACUGGGACUGAGACACGGCCCAGACUCCUACGGGAGGCAGCAGUGGGGAAUUUUGGACAAUGGGCGAAAGCCUGAUCCAGCAAUGCCGCGUGCAGGAUGAAGGCCCUCGGGUUGUAAACUGCUUUUGUACGGAACGAAAAGCCUGGGGCUAAUAUCCCCGGGUCAUGACGGUACCGUAAGAAUAAGCACCGGCUAACUACGUG